Molecule: ribosomal RNA, 460 nt
Filed under: uncultured bacterium
Lineage: Bacteria
Description: partial 16S ribosomal RNA
Rfam family: Bacterial small subunit ribosomal RNA
Source: RNAcentral
CCUACGGGUGGCAGCAGUGAGGAACAUUGGUCAAUGGACGCAAGUCUGAACCAGCCAUGCCGCGUGCAGGAAGACGGCUCUAUGAGUUGUAAACUGCUUUUGUACGAGGGUAAACGCAGAUACGCGUAUCUGUCUGAAAGUAUCGUACGAAUAAGGAUCGGCUAACUCCGUGCCAGCAGCCGCGGGAAUACGGAGGAUUCAAGCGUUAUCCGGAUUUAUUGGGUUUAAAGGGUGCGUAGGCGGUCGGAUAAGUUAGCGGUGAAAUCCCGAGGCUCAACUUCGGAAUUGCCUCUGAUACUGUGCGGCUAGAGAGUAGUGGCGGUAGGCGGAAGGUAUGGUGUAGCGGUGAAAUGCUUAGAGAUCAUACAGAACACCGAUUGCGAAGGCAGCUUACCAAGCUACUUCUGACGUUGAGGCACGAAAGCGUGGGGAGCAAACAGGAUUAGAUACCCGGGUAGUC